This 2901-nucleotide ribosomal RNA is filed under the name Klebsiella pneumoniae. RNAcentral's name for it is "23S ribosomal RNA". It matches the Rfam family "Bacterial large subunit ribosomal RNA". Lineage: Bacteria; Pseudomonadati; Pseudomonadota; Gammaproteobacteria; Enterobacterales; Enterobacteriaceae. The record is from RNAcentral.
GGUUAAGCGACUAAGCGUACACGGUGGAUGCCCUGGCAGUCAGAGGCGAUGAAGGACGUGCUAAUCUGCGAAAAGCGUCGGUAAGGUGAUAUGAACCGUUAUAACCGGCGAUGUCCGAAUGGGGAAACCCAGUGCAAUUCGUUGCACUAUCGUUAACUGAAUACAUAGGUUAACGAGGCGAACCGGGGGAACUGAAACAUCUAAGUACCCCGAGGAAAAGAAAUCAACCGAGAUUCCCCCAGUAGCGGCGAGCGAACGGGGAGCAGCCCAGAGUCUGAAUCAGCUUGUGUGUUAGUGGAACGGUCUGGAAAGUCCGACGGUACAGGGUGAUAGUCCCGUACACCAAAAUGCACAGGCUGUGAACUCGAAGAGUAGGGCGGGACACGUGGUAUCCUGUCUGAAUAUGGGGGACCAUCCUCCAAGGCUAAAUACUCCUGACUGACCGAUAGUGAACCAGUACCGUGAGGGAAAGGCGAAAAGAACCCCGGCGAGGGGAGUGAAAAAGAACCUGAAACCGUGUACGUACAAGCAGUGGGAGCACCUUCGGGUGUGACUGCGUACCUUUUGUAUAAUGGGUCAGCGACUUAUAUUCUGUAGCAAGGUUAACCGUAUAGGGGAGCCGCAGGGAAACCGAGUCUUAACUGGGCGUUAAGUUGCAGGGUAUAGACCCGAAACCCGGUGAUCUAGCCAUGGGCAGGUUGAAGGUUGGGUAACACUAACUGGAGGACCGAACCGACUAAUGUUGAAAAAUUAGCGGAUGACUUGUGGCUGGGGGUGAAAGGCCAAUCAAACCGGGAGAUAGCUGGUUCUCCCCGAAAGCUAUUUAGGUAGCGCCUCGUGAACUCAUCUUCGGGGGUAGAGCACUGUUUCGGCUAGGGGGUCAUCCCGACUUACCAACCCGAUGCAAACUACGAAUACCGAAGAAUGUUAUCACGGGAGACACACGGCGGGUGCUAACGUCCGUCGUGAAGAGGGAAACAACCCAGACCGCCAGCUAAGGUCCCAAAGUCAUGGUUAAGUGGGAAACGAUGUGGGAAGGCACAGACAGCCAGGAUGUUGGCUUAGAAGCAGCCAUCAUUUAAAGAAAGCGUAAUAGCUCACUGGUCGAGUCGGCCUGCGCGGAAGAUGUAACGGGGCUAAACCAUGCACCGAAGCUGCGGCAGCGACACUAUGUGUUGUUGGGUAGGGGAGCGUUCUGUAAGCCUGCGAAGGUGACCUGUGAGGGUUGCUGGAGGUAUCAGAAGUGCGAAUGCUGACAUAAGUAACGAUAAAGCGGGUGAAAAGCCCGCUCGCCGGAAGACCAAGGGUUCCUGUCCAACGUUAAUCGGGGCAGGGUGAGUCGACCCCUAAGGCGAGGCCGAAAGGCGUAGUCGAUGGGAAACAGGUUAAUAUUCCUGUACUUGGUGUUACUGCGAAGGGGGGACGGAGAAGGCUAUGUUAGCCGGGCGACGGUUGUCCCGGUUUAAGCAUGUAGGCUGAUUGUCCAGGCAAAUCCGGAUAAUCAAGGCUGAGGUGUGAUGACGAGGUACUACGGUGCUGAAGUAACAAAUGCCCUGCUUCCAGGAAAAGCCUCUAAGCAUCAGGUAACAUCAAAUCGUACCCCAAACCGACACAGGUGGUCAGGUAGAGAAUACCAAGGCGCUUGAGAGAACUCGGGUGAAGGAACUAGGCAAAAUGGUGCCGUAACUUCGGGAGAAGGCACGCUGGUGUGUAGGUGAAGCCCCUGCGGGUGGAGCUGAGACCAGUCGAAGAUACCAGCUGGCUGCAACUGUUUAUUAAAAACACAGCACUGUGCAAACACGAAAGUGGACGUAUACGGUGUGACGCCUGCCCGGUGCCGGAAGGUUAAUUGAUGGGGUUAUCCGUAAGGAGAAGCUCUUGAUCGAAGCCCCGGUAAACGGCGGCCGUAACUAUAACGGUCCUAAGGUAGCGAAAUUCCUUGUCGGGUAAGUUCCGACCUGCACGAAUGGCGUAAUGAUGGCCAGGCUGUCUCCACCCGAGACUCAGUGAAAUUGAACUCGCUGUGAAGAUGCAGUGUACCCGCGGCAAGACGGAAAGACCCCGUGAACCUUUACUAUAGCUUGACACUGAACAUUGAGCCUUGAUGUGUAGGAUAGGUGGGAGGCUUUGAAGCGUGGACGCCAGUCUGCGUGGAGCCAACCUUGAAAUACCACCCUUUAAUGUUUGAUGUUCUAACGUUGGCCCCUGACCGGGGUUGCGGACAGUGUCUGGUGGGUAGUUUGACUGGGGCGGUCUCCUCCCAAAGCGUAACGGAGGAGCACGAAGGUUAGCUAAUCCUGGUCGGACAUCAGGAGGUUAGUGCAAUGGCAUAAGCUAGCUUGACUGCGAGCGUGACGGCGCGAGCAGGUGCGAAAGCAGGUCAUAGUGAUCCGGUGGUUCUGAAUGGAAGGGCCAUCGCUCAACGGAUAAAAGGUACUCCGGGGAUAACAGGCUGAUACCGCCCAAGAGUUCAUAUCGACGGCGGUGUUUGGCACCUCGAUGUCGGCUCAUCACAUCCUGGGGCUGAAGUAGGUCCCAAGGGUAUGGCUGUUCGCCAUUUAAAGUGGUACGCGAGCUGGGUUUAGAACGUCGUGAGACAGUUCGGUCCCUAUCUGCCGUGGGCGCUGGAGAAUUGAGGGGGGCUGCUCCUAGUACGAGAGGACCGGAGUGGACGCAUCACUGGUGUUCGGGUUGUCAUGCCAAUGGCACUGCCCGGUAGCUAAAUGCGGAAGAGAUAAGUGCUGAAAGCAUCUAAGCACGAAACUUGCCCCGAGAUGAGUUCUCCCUGAGACUUUAAGUCUCCUGAAGGAACGUUAAAGACGAUGACGUUGAUAGGCCGGGUGUGUAAGCGCAGCGAUGCGUUGAGCUAACCGGUACUAAUGAACCGUGAGGCUUAACCUU